This 252-nucleotide ribosomal RNA is filed under the name uncultured bacterium. RNAcentral describes it as "partial 16S ribosomal RNA". It matches the Rfam family "Bacterial small subunit ribosomal RNA", at positions 524 to 776 of the family's 1533-position model. The record is from RNAcentral.
UACGAAGGGGCUAGCGUUGUUCGGAGUUACUGGGCGUAAAGGGCGCGUAGGCGGCGCAUCAAGUCAGGCGUGAAAGCCCUGGGCUCAACCCGGGAAUUGCGCUUGAGACUGGUGUGCUUGAGUACGGGAGAGGAUAGUGGAAUUCCCAGUGUAGAGGUGAAAUUCGUAGAUAUUGGGAAGAACACCAGUGGCGAAGGCGGCUAUCUGGACCGUAACUGACGCUGAGGCGCGAAAGCGUGGGGAGCAAACAGG